Molecule: RNase P RNA, 387 nt
Filed under: Omnitrophica WOR_2 bacterium RIFCSPLOWO2_02_FULL_45_28
Lineage: Bacteria; Pseudomonadati; Candidatus Omnitrophota
Description: RNase P RNA component class A
Rfam family: Bacterial RNase P class A
About the family: Ribonuclease P (RNase P) is a ubiquitous endoribonuclease, found in archaea, bacteria and eukarya as well as chloroplasts and mitochondria.
Source: RNAcentral
AGGCAGGCUUAGCUGGACGCCCCCCCGUUUUGAUUCGCUUUUGCCUGCCUGGUAGACAGGCGAAUGCAAAACGAAUCAGGGGGGGAGGAAAGUCCGGGCUCCGGAGGGCAGCGCACCCUGAGAAUAUCAGGGCAUCCCGAAAGGUGCGGGAUAGGAUAAGAGCCACAGAGACGAGUACCCCGCCAGAGGCGGGGGAUGUGAAACGAGGCAAUCUCUGCGCGGAGAAAGGUCAAAUAGGUCCCGAUUGAUGAGAGUGGCCCGCUCUGACAAAACUACUUUUGUAGUAAUUGAAUCGGGAUGGGUAGACUGCUUGAGUUCCGAUGGCAACAUCGGAAUCUAGAGGAAUGUCCAUAAAUAACAGAACCCGGCUUAUGAGCCUGCCUAAAU